AUUGAACGCUGGCGGCAGGCCUAACACAUGCAAGUCGAGCGGAUGAAGGGAGCUUGCUCCUGGAUUCAGCGGCGGACGGGUGAGUAAUGCCUAGGAAUCUGCCUGGUAGUGGGGGAUAACGUCCGGAAACGGGCGCUAAUACCGCAUACGUCCUGAGGGAGAAAGUGGGGGAUCUUCGGACCUCACGCUAUCGGAUGAGCCUAGGUCGGAUUAGCUAGUUGGUGGGGUAAAGGCCUAGCAAGGCGACGAUCCGUAACUGGUCUGAGAGGAUGAUCAGUCACACUGGAACUGAGACACGGUCCAGACUCCUACGGGAGGCAGCAGUGGGGAAUAUUGGACAAUGGGCGAAAGCCUGAUCCAGCCAUGCCGCGUGUGUGAAGAAGGUCUUCGGAUUGUAAAGCACUUUAAGUUGGGAGGAAGGGCAGUAAGUUAAUACCUUGCUGUUUUGACGUUACCAACAGAAUAAGCACCGGCUAACUUCGUG
This 484-nucleotide ribosomal RNA is filed under the name uncultured bacterium. RNAcentral's name for it is "partial 16S ribosomal RNA". It matches the Rfam family "Bacterial small subunit ribosomal RNA", at positions 30 to 507 of the family's 1533-position model. The record is from RNAcentral.